Molecule: ribosomal RNA, 955 nt
Filed under: uncultured bacterium
Lineage: Bacteria
Description: bacterial SSU rRNA
Rfam family: Bacterial small subunit ribosomal RNA
Source: RNAcentral
AUGCUUGCAUCUUGCUGACGACCGGCGCACGGGUGCGUAACGCGUAUAGAACCUACCUUAUAUUGGGGGAUAGCCCAGAGAAAUUUGGAUUAAUACCCCAUGGUAUACUUAAGUGGCAUCACUAUAGUAUUAAAGAUUUAUCGAUAUAAGAUGGCUAUGCGUCCUAUUAGCUAGUUGGUAUGGUAACGGCAUACCAAGGCAACGAUAGGUAGGGGUCCUGAGAGGGAGAUCCCCCACACUGGUACUGAGACACGGACCAGACUCCUACGGGAGGCAGCAGUGAGGAAUAUUGGACAAUGGAGGCAACUCUGAUCCAGCCAUGCCGCGUGCAGGAAGACUGCCCUAUGGGUUGUAAACUGCUUUUAUAGAGGAAGAAACCCCCUGACGUGUCAGGGUCUGACGGUACUCUACGAAUAAGGAUCGGCUAACUCCGUGCCAGCAGCCGCGGUAAUACGGAGGAUCCAAGCGUUAUCCGGAAUCAUUGGGUUUAAAGGGUCCGUAGGCGGGCAAUUAAGUCAGAGGUGAAAGUUUGCGGCUCAACCGUAAAAUUGCCUUUGAUACUGGUUGUCUUGAAUUAUUGUGAAGUGGUUAGAAUGUGUAGUGUAGCGGUGAAAUGCAUAGAUAUUACACAGAAUACCGAUUGCGAAGGCAGAUCACUAACAAUUGAUUGACGCUAAGGGACGAAAGCGUGGGUAGCGAACAGGAUUAGAUACCCUGGUAGUCCACGCCGUAAACGAUGGUCACUAGCUGUUUGGUUUUCGGACUGAGUGGCUAAGCGAAAGUGAUAAGUGACCCACCUGGGGAGUACGUUCGCAAGAAUGAAACUCAAAGGAAUUGACGGGGGCCCGCACAAGCGGUGGAGCAUGUGGUUUAAUUCGAUGAUACGCGAGGAACCUUACCAGGGCUUAAAUGUAGUCUGACAGCUGUAGAGAUACAGUUUUCUUCGGACAGAUUA